GGACCCUGUAAUGGGGGAGGAGAACUAUUUCCCACGUAAUGGGGAGGGGAAUCAGGGUACUAUUCACAAAAGAAGGAGAAAGGGAUGCUGAAGAGCAGGAAAAAAACCCAGAUGGUCGCUACAGGCAUGCAUUCUGGGUAAGCUCAUGCAAAUGAUCAAAACGGGCUCCUUUUGGGUCUCAGAAAUUUCUCAUCAUUAGAACCCUAAGCAGGACUGAGUACAGGCACACAAAAUGCUGAUUUCCUCUGUAGACAGAACACUGUGUGGUUUACAGAGGAGGCAGCCUCAGCUAGACCACUAAGAUCAACUUUUCCCACCCGCAGCAUCCUGAAAGAACACGUAGCAAGAAGGUGGAGAGAAUCAGACCACUAGCACUCCACUUCUUUUAAACAUACCCCAUAGAGACACGUACCUGGGAGAACUCACAGCUGCCUUCUGCUGGACUAGAAGUAUUUGUAUCCUGACCAUCUGCGAGGUCUUGCUCAGAGUUAGAGAAAAGCUUCUCAAAUGUGGGCCAGCUGUUGGAGCUCUAAUAUGCAUAUUUGGGAGAAUUCAUAUUUAAUUUAUUAAGCUGGCCGGCCAGCUGCCCACUAGGCUUGGGAUGACCUCUACAAUGCAUCUAAAGCUAACCCUUCAGACUCAGAAGAAUGGUCACUUCCUCCUUCAUGCAGUAUUUUCUGCCUGUCCCCUCAAAAGCUGAGUUUGGGGCUUCUUUCUUUGUGUUCCCGUGGAAAUGCUGUACUAGGUACACCUUUUCACUUGUAAUUUGCCCCUACUGCUCUCUGGGCUCCUUGAGGCAGGGACCAUGAGUCAUAUCACAAGCAAUUAGAACAGAGCUGGAAUAUGGUGCCCUAUGAAUGAAGCCCAUUGUUCUCUGCAUCUGUGUCUCUGUUUCUGCCCUGCAAACCGGUUCAUCUGUACCAUUUUUCUAGGUUCCACAUAUGUGUGUUAAUAUACGAUAUUUGUUUUUCUCUGACUUACUUCACUCUGUAUGACAGUCUCUAGAUCCAUCCACGUCUCUACAAAUGACCCAAUUUCAUUCUUUUUAUGGCUGAGUAAUAUUCCAUUGUAUAUAUGUACCACAUCUUCUUUAUCCAUUCAUCUGUCAAUGGGCAUUUAGGUUGCUUCCAUGUCCUGGCUAUUGUAAAUAGUGCUGCAGUGAACAUUGGGGUGCAUGUGUCUUUUUGAAUUAUGGUUUUCUCUGGGUAUAUGCCCAGUAGUGGGAUUGCUGGGUUAUAUGGUAGCUCUAUUUUUAGUUUUUUAAGGAACCUCCAUACUGUUCUCCAUACUGGCUGUACCAAUUUACAUUCCCACCAACAGUGUAGGAGGGUUCCCUUUUCUCCACACCCUCUCCAGCAUUUACUGUUUGUAGGUUUUUUAAUCAUGGCCAUUCUGACCUGUGUGAGGUGAUACCUCAUUGUAGUUUUGAUUGAAGUUUCUCUAGUUGGUGAUGUUGAGCAUGUUUUCAUGUGCUUUUUGGCCAUCUGUGUGUCUUCUUUGGAGAAAUACCCAUUUGUUUAUUUUUGUUUUUAUUUUCAUUCAGCUUUAUUUUUUGUUCAAGUGAACCAUUGGAGUGCAGAGCAUACGAGGACCUUGUUGAGGUUGUUAAUGCCUCAGACCAGGCUAGACAUGGUGACCUAUUUAUCUAAGGCAAUCAAUGCCCCUGUAGUCAGAAAGGCUCCAUAUUUUGGCCAGAAAGGAAAGCAAAGGCCAAAGGCAGAGAAGUGACGGCUAGUGUUCAGUCUGGUAGGUAAAGUGACUAAGUGGAGAAAAUGAACCACCAAGUCUAAAGGUAAGCACACUGAGAGCCAAAUGCAAAGCGGAAAAGUGCAGGGCAUGGUGGGACAGGGUGAUUCAGCAAUGCCAGUGGUGAUGGGACCCAUUUCUAAUAUUCAUUGUGCUACCUUCUUUAUAGCUUAAAACUGCCAGAUAGGAUCAGACAUACUUGGUCUAAGAUCCUGUAAGAUCUGGCCCAGUUUAAAACCUAUAUGAGAAAACUCUGAUCACCAAAGAUAUCUCUCUGUCAGGCACCAUUGCCUGGACAACUGGCAUGGCAGUUCUGUUAGGCUUUAUCUUGAUGACCUUUUGUUCUCUGCCCCACACUACUCGUGAUUGUGACAGGUAUGUAGCCCUGCCAGGCUACAGGGUCACCUUUUCCAUUUCCUCUUCCUGGGCACAAGCACUGUCUACAUUUCCUAGCCUCCCUUGAGUUAGGUUGUGGUCAUGUGACGGGGCUUUGACGAAUGGAAUGUGGGAGGAAGUGAAAUGGGCCACCUCCAGGUAUGACCAUCAAAUGCCCCUUGGGACCUACGCCGUACUCUCCCUCUCUCUUUGUUCAUCAGCCAGCCGAAUGCAGAGGCUCCAAGAUGGAGGAAGCCUGUAUUCCAUUCAGGAGAGUCUACUGAAAACAUCCAGUCAGACUGGGUCUUAGGGGGAAAAUAAACCUUUGCUGUAAGCCACUAAGCACUGAAGGUUGUUUCAGCAGCUAGCACUCCCCCUGACUAAUACAAGUCUAAAAAGCUACCCAUGAUAGCUUCCAACAUAGCAGGAAAUGAUUGGGAUGAUAAUGUUUAAGCAGGAUUUCCAUAAAUGUGUUAAGGUUCCACAGGUACCUCAAGGUAGAGCCAGUGAAGAUGGACAAAUGUCACAUCACUACAGAAAGGUGAGCCAGGAUUUGAAUGGAGUUCUGUCUGAUGCAAAAAGCCUGUCCUUUUUCACUUCUUCACAUUACCCCAAACAAAGAGGUGUUUAGAUGUUUUGAGUGAUGGUCAUAAUGAUGACAGACUCUAGGAUUCUGUGUAAUUUGCUCCCUGGCAUAUUUGUGCUACAUAUUCCUGCAGCACGUCUACCACUUCCCACAGGCCAGUGAGGUUGGAUACAAUGACAUCCUGUAAUCCUCAUUUUUAUAUUGACAUCGUGCCCAGGUACUUAAAGGAGGGUAGCUAAAAUUAUUAUUUUCUCCAGCCUGCAACCUAAAUGUUUACCAGUCUGGUAAAAGACUUUGGGGACCAUGCCAUAGAGGUAUAUAGGUCUUCCUUCUCCUUUUCCUCCUUCCUUCCUGUCCCAACCAUUCCAGUCAUAAGCUGGGCUCCACAUCUCUUCUAGCUGAAUAAUUGCAUCUUCUAUCUCUCUGCAAUGGUGAGAGAGCAGGGGACUGAACCUCCAUAUUCUAGUUUCCACAUCUGUAAAAUGGGUGUAUGUUACCUACCACGUACAAUUGUCAUGAGGUUUAAAUAAGACAGGCAAUAAAUUGGUGGCAUAUCGUG
Molecule: long non-coding RNA, 3266 nt
Organism: Orcinus orca (killer whale)
Lineage: Eukaryota; Metazoa; Chordata; Mammalia; Artiodactyla; Delphinidae
Exons: 2
Source: RefSeq, a predicted model, not a curated record